AGGGUUAGGGUUAGGAUUAGGGUUAGGGUUAGGGUUAGGGUUAGGGUUAGGGUUAGGGUUAGGGUUAGGGUUAGGGUUAGGGUCAGGGUCAGGGUUGGGGUUAGGGUUAGGGUUAGGGUUAGGGUUAGGGUUAGGGUUAGGGUUAGGGUUAGGGUUAGGGUUAGGGUUAGGGUCAGGGUCAGGGUUGGGGUUAGGGUUAGGGUUAGGGUUAGGGUUAGGGUUAGGGUUAGGGUUAGGGUUAGGGGUAGGGUUAGGGUAGGGUUAGGGUUA
Molecule: long non-coding RNA, 270 nt
Organism: Tympanuchus pallidicinctus (lesser prairie-chicken)
Lineage: Eukaryota; Metazoa; Chordata; Aves; Galliformes; Phasianidae
Exons: 3
Source: RefSeq, a predicted model, not a curated record